This 60-nucleotide transfer RNA is filed under the name Mesocricetus auratus (golden hamster). It matches the Rfam family "tRNA", at positions 7 to 64 of the family's 71-position model. From Rfam's summary of the family: Transfer RNA (tRNA) molecules are approximately 80 nucleotides in length. Their secondary structure includes four short double-helical elements and three loops (D, anti-codon, and T loops). The record is from Rfam by way of RNAcentral. Lineage: Eukaryota; Metazoa; Chordata; Mammalia; Rodentia; Cricetidae.
AUGGCUCAGUGGAUAAAGUGCUUGCUUUGCAAGCAUGAGAGCCCAAGUUCAAAACCUGGU